CUCUUUAGCUUGGCAUUUGAAUCGGCUUUGCUGUUGCGAAGUAGAGUGGCGGCUUCGGCUGCCGAGGGUCGAUCCAUUUGGGAAAUGUUGUGUACUUCGGUAUGCAUCUCAAUUGGACCUGAUAUCAGGCAAGAUUACCCGCUGAACUUAAGCAUAUUAAUAAGCGGAGGAAAAGAAACUAACAAGGAUUCCCCUAGUAACGGCGAGUGAAGCGGGAAGAGCUCAAGCUUAAAAUCUCCGUGCAAGUUUUGCGCGGCGAAUUGUAGUCUAUAGAGGCGUGAUCAGUGUGGGCGCUUGUUUUAAGUUCCUUGGAAGAAGACAGCAUGGAGGGUGAUACUCCCGUUCAUCCCUGAGUUGCUCGUGCGUACGAUCCGUUUUCUUUGAGUCGCGUUGUUUGGGAAUGCAGCGCAAAGUAGGUGGUAAAUUCCAUCUAAAGCUAAAUAUUGGUGCGAGACCGAUAGCGAACAAGUACCGUGAGGUGAAAGAUGAAAAGAACUUUGAAAAGAGAGUUAAAGAGUACCUGAAACUGCUGAAGGGAACCGAAUCGUUUCCAGUGUCUAUAAUCCGUGGUAUAUUUCAUUGGCGAGUGUGUGCGUGCGUGUGCUGUGGCAGCGGCUUUUUUGGCUGCGCUCGGCGUGUGUGCUGUGUGUGCUUGCUGGUGCCCUGUGCUGCGGUGGGACGUCAAGGUCAGUUCGUAUGCUGCGGGAAAUGGCCGCCGAGGAGGUAGGGCUUACGCUUGCGUUUGUCUGUUAUAUCUUGGUGGACGAGUAGUCGCGGUUGGGACUGAGGUGCCUACAACGUGUUUUUGAGUGGGCCUGUGUCUCUGUGUGCGCCGUGUGCGGAUAGCUUGCUAUGCGUGUGUGGUUGUGUGUGGAUUGAUGUGAGUUUUAACUUGUUGCCGUUCGGGACGUUGACGAAAUGGAGCGAUUUGACCCGUCUUGAAACACGGACCAAGGAGUCUAACAUGUGUGCAAGUGUUAGGGUGUGGAAACCCCAGCGCGAAAUGAAAGUGAAGGGCAGCGUAAGUUGUCUGAGGUAGGAAAUGCUGCGGGCUUCGGUCUGCGGUGUGGCACUAUCGACCGAUCAUGAACCUUCGUGGUGAAAGAUUUGAGUUUGAGCACAUAUGUUGGUACCCGAAAGAUGGUGAACUAUGCCUGAGUAGGGUGAAGCCAGGGGAAACUCUGGUGGAAGCUCGUAGCGAUUCUGACGUGCAAAUCGAUCGUCAAACUUGGGUAUAGGGGCGAAAGACUAAUCGAACCAUCUAGUAGCUGGUUCCCUCCGAAAUUUCCCUCAGGAUAGCAGCAACUUAUUUACGAUAGUUUUAUGAGGUAAAGCGAAUGAUUAGAGGAUUCGGGGAAGAAACUUCCUCGACCUAUUCUCAAACUUUAAAUCUGUAAGACCUGCAGGUUUCUUAAUUGAACUUGUGGAUGUGAAUAUCAAGUUGCUAGUGGGCCAUACGGGGUAAGCUCGUCUGGCGAUGCGGGAUGAACCGAACGCAAAGUUAAAGUGCCAAAAUGCUCGCUCACCUAGAUACCAUAAAAGGUGUUGGUUCAUUUAGACAGCAGGACGGUGGCCAUGGAAGUCGGAAUCCGCUAAGGAGUGUGUAACAACUCACCUGCCGAAUGAACUAGCCCUGAAAAUGGAUGGCGCUAAAGCGGGCUACUUAUACUUUGCCGUUAGCGCGAUAGCAUUUAUAAUGUACGCGUUAAUGAGUAGGAGGGCGUGAAGGUCGUGAAGAAGCUCGUGGCGUGAGCCUGAGUGAACGGCCUUUAGUGCAGAUCUUGGUGGUAGUAGCAAAUAUUCAAAUGCGAACUUUGAAGACUGAAGUGAAGAAAGGUUCCGUGUGAUCAGUAAUUGGACACGGGUGAGUCGAUCCUAAGAGAUAGGAUAAUUCCGUUUGAAAGCUGGGCUGUUUGAGGCGUGGGGUUCGUCCUUGCGUUUUGUAUGCAGCCUCGUGUAUCGAAAGGGAAUCAGGUUAAUAUUCCUGAACCGAGACGUGGAUAAUAUGUGGUAACACAACCGACCCAGGAGACGCUAGCGUGUGCCCAGGGAAGAGUUCUCUUUUCUUUUUAACAAGCAUAUCCUACCUUGGAAACGGAUUAUCCGGCGAUAAGGAGGAUGCCUUGGCAAAGCACUUUACUUUUUGAAGUGUCCUGCGCGCCCACGACAGCCCUUGAAAAUCCUGGCUAGAGAUUUAUUCGCACCCUCGUUUCGUACUCAUAAACGCAUCAGGUCUCCAAGGUUAGCAGCCUCUAGUUGAUAGAAGAAUGUAGAAUAAGGGAAGUCGGCAAAAUAGAUCCGUAACUUCUGGAAAAAGGAUUGGCUCUGAGGAGUGGGGCCUAGGGGUCUUUUUGGAGAACUUGUGGCGGAUCUACGCUGGGGCUGCGUCUGGACCUUUCGGGGACCGGAUGCGGCCUGGCGGUCGGGCUGCUCUUGUUGUGCCGGAGAGAAAAGUAGUUGUGCUUUCGGGCUGGCUGCUGUUUCCUUAGUGCGUUGAACAACCGGCUCAGAACUGGAGCGGACAAAGGGGAAUCCGACUGUUUAAUUAAAACAAAGCAUUGUGAUGGCCGGAGACGGUGUUGACACAAUGUGAUUUCUGCCCAGUGCUCUGAAUGUCAAAGUGAAGAGAUUCAACCAAGCGCGGGUAAACGGCGGGAGUAACUAUGACUCUCUUAAGGUAGCCAAAUGCCUCGUCAUCUAACUAGUGACGCGCAUGAAUGGAUUAAUGAGAUUCCCACUGUCCCUAUCUACUGUCUAGCGAACCCACAGCCAAGGGAACGGGCUUGGAAUAAUCAGCGGGGAAAGAAGACCCUGUUGAGCUUGACUCUAGUCUGACGUUGUGAAAUGACUUGGGAGGUGUAGAAUAAGUGGGAGGCUCUGCCGUCUGUGAAAUACCACUACUCUCAAUGUUGUUUUACUUAUACCAUGAUGUAGCAUCUGUGUGGCCUCGCGGUCGCUCAGUUCUAGUUGUAAACUUGGGCUUUUGCCUGGGUGAGCUACGUGGAAGACAUCGUCAGGUGGGGAGUUUGGCUGGGGCGGCACAUCUGUUAAAUGAUAACACAGGUGUCCUAAGGUGAGCUCAAUGAGAACAGAAAUCUCAUGUAGAACAAAAGGGUAAAAGCUCACUUGAUUUUGAUUUUCAGUAUGAAUACAAACCGUGAAAGCGUGGCCUAUCGAUCCUUUAGUUCUUUUGAAUUUUAAGCUAGAGGUGUCAGAAAAGUUACCACAGGGAUAACUGGCUUGUGGCAGCCAAGCGUCCA
This 3260-nucleotide ribosomal RNA is filed under the name Phytophthora infestans T30-4. RNAcentral describes it as "28S ribosomal RNA". It matches the Rfam family "Eukaryotic large subunit ribosomal RNA", at positions 1 to 2854 of the family's 3401-position model. Lineage: Eukaryota; Oomycota; Peronosporomycetes; Peronosporales; Peronosporaceae. The record is from RNAcentral.